Pelobates cultripes (western spadefoot toad) is the source of this 230-nucleotide non-coding RNA. NCBI's taxonomy places the organism in Eukaryota, Metazoa, Chordata, Amphibia, Anura, Pelobatidae. The record is from the annotation of a GenBank genome assembly.
CCCAGAGCUGCUGUUUGGAUGUAAACUGCCUCCCAUCCUAAUAGAUCUUUUGCUUGAGGAUGCUCCAAAGGUUCUCAAUAGGAUUGAGGUCAGGGGAGGAUGGACGCCACACUAUGACUUUCUCUCCUUUUAUCCCCAUAGCAGCCAUUAUUCUGGACCGGCUGCAGAGGCUAUGAAUGUGUUUUUCAGGAGCACAUGGCGCUCAUUGCCCUGAUGAGAUUAUCCAUACC